UACGGGGGGAGCAAGCGUUGUUCGGAUUUACUGGGCGUAAAGGGCGCGUAGGCGGUCGUGACAAGUCACUUGUGAAAUCUCCGGGCUUAACUCGGAACGGUCAAGUGAUACUGUCGGACUAGAGUACAGAAGGGGCAACUGGAAUUCUCGGUGUAGCGGUGAAAUUCGUAGAUAUUGGGAAGAACACCGGUGGCGAAGGCGGCCAUCUCGGACCGCAACUGACGCUGAGGCGCGAAAGCGUGGGGAGCAAACAGGG
RNAcentral lists this ribosomal RNA (256 nucleotides) under uncultured bacterium. Its description in RNAcentral is "partial 16S ribosomal RNA". It matches the Rfam family "Bacterial small subunit ribosomal RNA", at positions 524 to 777 of the family's 1533-position model. The record is from RNAcentral.